GAUGAACGCUGGCGGCGUGCCUAAUACAUGCAAGCCGAGCGAACAGAUGAGGUGCUUGCUCCUCUCACGUUAGCGGCGAACGGGUGAGUAACACGUGGACAACCUCCCUAUAAGACUGGGUUAACUUCGCGACACCGGAGCCAAUACCGGCUAAUAUAUUGAACCGCAAUGGUCUAUAAUGAAACACGGAUUUCCUGUCACUUAUAGAUGGCUCCGCGCCGCUGUAGCUAGUUGGUAAGGUAACGGCUUACCAAGGCGACGAUGCGUAGCCGACCUGAGAGGGUGAUCGGCCACACUGGAACUGAGACACGGUCCAGACUCCUACGGGAGGCAGCAGUAGGGAAUCUUCCGCAAUGGGCGAAAGCCUGACGGAGCAACGCCGCGUGAGUGAUGAAGGUCUUCGGAUCGUAAAACUCUGUUAUUAGGGAAGAACAAAUGUGUAAGUAACUAUGCACGUCUUGACGGUACCUAAUCAGAAAGCCACGGCUAACUACGUG
This 497-nucleotide ribosomal RNA is filed under the name uncultured bacterium. RNAcentral's name for it is "partial 16S ribosomal RNA". It matches the Rfam family "Bacterial small subunit ribosomal RNA", at positions 28 to 507 of the family's 1533-position model. The record is from RNAcentral.